CCUACGGGCGGCAGCACUGGGGAAUAUUGGACAAUGGGCGAAAGCCUGAUCCAGCCAUGCCGCGUGUGUGAAGAAGGCCUUCGGGUUGUAAAGCACUUUCAGUGGGGAAGAAAGCCUUGGGGCUAAUACCCUCGAGGAAGGACAUCACCCACAGAAGAAGCACCGGCUAACUCCGUGCCAGCAGCCGCGGUAAUACGGAGGGUGCGAGCGUUAAUCGGAAUUACUGGGCGUAAAGCGCGCGUAGGCGGUCUGAUAAGCCGGUUGUGAAAGCCCCGGGCUCAACCUGGGAACGGCAUCCGGAACUGUCAGGCUAGAGUGCAGGAGAGGAAGGUAGAAUUCCCGGUGUAGCGGUGAAAUGCGUAGAGAUCGGGAGGAAUACCAGUGGCGAAGGCGGCCUUCUGGACUGACACUGACGCUGAGGUGCGAAAGCGUGGGUAGCAAACAGGAUUAGAUACCCGUGUAGUC
Molecule: ribosomal RNA, 465 nt
Filed under: Vreelandella stevensii
Lineage: Bacteria; Pseudomonadati; Pseudomonadota; Gammaproteobacteria; Oceanospirillales; Halomonadaceae
Description: partial 16S ribosomal RNA
Rfam family: Bacterial small subunit ribosomal RNA
Source: RNAcentral